CGAGGCCGUCGGCGCGAUGGAAGAGUCGCUCAAGAUCACCGUCGAGUACCUCAAGACCCGCAAGCAGUUCGGCGUUGCCAUCGGCAACUUCCAGGCGCUGCAGCAUCGUGCAUCCGAUAUGUUCGUGAACCUGGAGCAGGCGCGCAGCAUGGCGCUGUUCGCUGUGGUGGCGACCGAUCUUCCGGAGUCCGAGCGCGCAACGGCGGUCGCGGCUGCCAAGGUGCAGGUCGGCAAGUCGUCGAAGUUCGUCGGU
RNAcentral lists this unclassified non-coding RNA (253 nucleotides) under Hevea brasiliensis (rubber tree). The record is from RNAcentral. Lineage: Eukaryota; Viridiplantae; Streptophyta; Magnoliopsida; Malpighiales; Euphorbiaceae.